CCUACGGGUGGCUGCAGUGGGGAAUAUUGGACAAUGGGGGAAACCCUGAUCCAGCCAUGCCGCGUGAGUGAUGAAGGCCCUAGGGUUGUAAAGCUCUUUCGGCGGGGAAGAUAAUGACGGUACCCGCAGAAGAAGCCCCGGCUAACUUCGUGCCAGCAGCCGCGGUAAUACGAAGGGGGCUAGCGUUGCUCGGAAUCACUGGGCGUAAAGCGCACGUAGGCGGACUCUUAAGUCGGGGGUGAAAUCCUGAGGCUCAACCUCAGAACUGCCCUCGAUACUGGGAGUCUUCGAGUCCGGGAGAGGUGAGUGGAACUCCGAGUGUAGAGGUGAAAUUCGUAGAUAUUCGGAAGAACACCAGUGGCGAAGGCGGCUCACUGGCCCGGUACUGACGCUGAGGUGCGAAAGCGUGGGGAGCAAACAGGAUUAGAUACCCUAGUAGUC
Molecule: ribosomal RNA, 441 nt
Filed under: uncultured bacterium
Lineage: Bacteria
Description: partial 16S ribosomal RNA
Rfam family: Bacterial small subunit ribosomal RNA
Source: RNAcentral